AUGGGAAGACAGCUGUUACAGGAUGGAGAGCGCCGCAGGCAGAGAGCUGGUCUCAGCAGACCAGAGCCUCAUCCACUGUUUCUGCCCUGGGAGACAACGGGGGCCUCAGAGCUGGAGGGGCUCAGAGCUGGGAGGCCACCUUCAGAUGCACCUGGACCCACAGGGCAGAUUCCUCACCUGAGAGAGAGAGAGAGAGAGGUUUGUGGUCUCUCUCCUUCCCCUGCAGAGCCCGGCAUGUGGGGUUACCUGUCUGUGCUGCCCGCUUUCCUGGCCUUUUCUGCUAUCACUGGAGUCUGGAGUGUUUUUGCCCUUGCCGUGACCAACAGGUCUGUGAACCUCACGGAAGGUUUCCCCUAUAUCAGCCUCUGCGGGUCUUACCCCCCUCAGAGCUGCAUCUUCAGCCAGCUGCUCAACAUGGGAGCUGCUAUGGGAGUGCGGGCAGGCUUGCCCGCCCACUUCCCUCUCCUCCCAGCCGCCUGGAUCUGCAUUAUCCGUUACCACCAGCUCCGGGACUGGGGAGUCAGAAAAUGGUUUAACCGGUUGAUCCUGUGGACGGGGCUCCUGUGUGCCCUGGGCACCUCCGUGGUGGGCAACUUCCAGCAAAAGAACCAGCUGCACAUGCACCUGGUCGGGGCCUUCUUCGCCUUAUUCAUGGGCAACUCCUACUUUUGGCUGCAGCUUAUUCUUGUCUGGUGCACGAGGAGACUGCCCCAGCCCGGGGCCCCCUGGGUCGGGCCACUCCGUCUGGGCCUCUGCAGCCUCUGCACCAUCCUCUUGGUGACCAUGAUGAUCCUCCACUUCUGGCCGCUGCGCUCGGCCUCCGCCGCCUGCGAGUGGGCCAUCGCCAUGCUGCUGUUUGCCCUCUUUGGCCUGUUUGCGGUGGACUUUUCCUGCCUGGACGGCUGCACCCUGCACAUCCAGCAGGGCCACCUCAGCUCCCCGCCAGCCUCCCCCACCUCCCUGCAGAUCCACCUGUGAACAGUAGGCCGGGUGAUGAGGUCUGGGCCCCCUCCCUCCGUGCUGCCAUCAGGGCCACCCAGGAAGUGAGAGGUCAAGGCCAGCCAGCCAUCCCUGCUCAAGGCUAUUUAUUAUUAUUAUUAUUAAUUUUUUUUUUUUUUUUUUUUUUUUUUUUUUUUUUUUUUUGCCGCCGGCGGAAUCAGAGACACGGACGCAGGCAGGGUCACGCGAAACCAGAAUUCCUUCCGGAGAGCAAAUCCGUACAGAAGGUCGCCCCUCCGGCCCACAGGAUAAAGGAGGGCCCCACGGCUUCGGACGCGGCCCACCUGCCAGGGCCUGCACGGAGGGCUGGUCGUGAGUGCUCAGCAGCUGCGCCUGGAUGGUCUCCACCACUCGCUUGAACCGACGGCUGGGACCUGGAGGGGAAGGAGAUGGGCUGACUUGGGGACAGAGACAGAAAAGGCCCUCCCACCCCGUGGAAACCAGAAAGGACUCGCUUCCUCUUGGGCUCAAUUUCCGGCCCUGUGUUGGGACUAGGUAUAGACCCGCGAUUUGCAAAUGGGAUGAGAAAGAUUGGAGUUAAAAUAAUGAUGGGUGUGGCUUUCUAUUUAUCGUGUUAGUUUCUAGCUGAGGCCACGAAGAGCCAGAAAUAUAAGAAAAAUAAACAGGAAGUUAAAA
Molecule: RNA transcript, 1635 nt
Organism: Lutra lutra (Eurasian river otter)
Lineage: Eukaryota; Metazoa; Chordata; Mammalia; Carnivora; Mustelidae
Gene: TMEM150B
Gene name: transmembrane protein 150B
Exons: 7
Source: RefSeq, a predicted model, not a curated record